RNAcentral lists this long non-coding RNA (424 nucleotides) under Fukomys damarensis (Damara mole-rat). RNAcentral describes it as "lncRNA (ENSFDAG00000024622.1)". Lineage: Eukaryota; Metazoa; Chordata; Mammalia; Rodentia; Bathyergidae. The record is from RNAcentral.
GGGAGACAGAUGUACCUUCUGAGCAGCUGUAGGGAGUCCCAGUUAACUGAGAAAGUUUUAAGGAGGCCCAUGACAUUGUGAAUAUGCGCCUCUGGAUCACUAUCUGAUCCGGACUAGAGAAGAGAUGUGGUAUGGUGAAGGUGCUCAACUUUCUUUGAGUAUACCAAAACUAUAUUGCUCCAGAAAGUUUGACAAAGGAAGCUGGAGGCGUGGGAGAGAAGCGAAGAGAUCUUCAUUAGCUGGAAAUAUGGAGAAAUUAUGGCAGCUCAGUCCUCAUGCCAAGAAAAGAUGUCUCUCCACCAGGAGCCUGGGUCACACAGGCACUCCAGAGGCUCUCCGUCCUUCACUUGUACUAAGGUCUUCUCUCACCAGGGCCAAGACUCUGGUGAUUUCACUGAAAUCGGUAGUGCUCGGUACUCUCUGA